This 568-nucleotide ribosomal RNA is filed under the name uncultured Gemmatimonadota bacterium. RNAcentral's name for it is "bacterial SSU rRNA". It matches the Rfam family "Bacterial small subunit ribosomal RNA", at positions 338 to 908 of the family's 1533-position model. The record is from RNAcentral. Lineage: Bacteria; Pseudomonadati; Gemmatimonadota.
CCUACGGGAGGCAGCAGUGGGGAAUAUUGCGCAAUGGGCGAAAGCCUGACGCAGCGACGCCGCGUGUGGGAUGAAGGUCUUCGGAUUGUAAACCACUGUCGGGAGGGACGAAUGCGCCGCAAGGCGAGUGACGGUACCUCCAAAGGAAGCACCGGCUAACUCUGUGCCAGCAGAAGCGGUAAUACAGAGGGUGCGAGCGUUGUCCGGAAUCACUGGGCGUAAAGGGCGCGUAGGCGGCUGGAUAAGUAGGGGGUGAUAUCUUGCGGCUCAACUGCAAGGCUGCCUCCUAAACUGUCCGGCUUGAGCACAGUAGAGGCAGGUGGAAUUCCCGGUGUAGCGGUGGAAUGCGUAGAGAUCGGGAAGAACAUCGGUGGCGAAGGCGGCCUGCUGGGCUGUUGCUGACGCUGAGGCGCGACAGCGUGGGGAGCAAACAGGAUUAGAUACCCUGGUAGUCCACGCCGUAAACGAUGGGUACUAGGCGUCGCCGGGAGCGACCCCUUCGGUGCCGUCGCUAACGCAGUAAGUACCCCGCCUGGGGAGUACGGCCGCAAGGCUGAAACUCAAAGGA